UAGCUAACUUGCUCUUAAGUCGGGAAUAACCUUGGAAAACUGAGGAUAAUGCCUGAUAGGAGAUACUGCCUGGAAUGGUUUAUCUCCCAAAGCUUCGGCGCUUAAGAAUAGGGCUGCGGUGGAUUAAGCUGAUGUCAGGGUAAAAACCUGACAUACUUAUAAUCUAUAGGGGCUGUGAGAGCAGUAGCCUCCAGAUGGGUUCUGAGACACUAACCCAGAUCCUACGGGAUGCAGCAGUCGCGAAACCUCCGCAAUGCACGCAAGUGUGACGGGGGAACCCUGAGUGCUGGCACUUUGUGUCAGCUUUUAUAGAGUCUAAUGCGCUCUAUGAAUAAGUGGUGGGUAAGACCGUUGCCAGCCGCCGCGGUAAUAACGGCACCACAAGUGGGGAUCACGAAUAUUGGGUCUGAAGCAUCCGUAGCCGGUUUGUUAAGUCUCUUGUGAAAUCCUGUAGAAAACUACAGGGCGUGCAAGAGAUACUGGCAAACUUGGGACUGGGAAGAGUUAGAGGUACUUUUAGGGUAGGGGUAAAAUCCUGUAAUCCUAAAGGGACCACCUGUGGCGAAGGCGUCUAACUGGAACGGGUCCGACGGUGAGGGAUGAAAGCUAGGGGAGCAAAGCGGAUUAGAUACCCGCGUAGUCCUAGCUGUAAACGAUGCCCGUUAGGUAUUGGAAAUCUUUCGUGGAUUUUCAGUGCCGUAGGGAAGCCAUUAAACGGGCCACCUGGGAAGUAUAGUCGCAAGGCUGAAACUUGAAGGAAUUGGCGGGAGAGCAC
This 775-nucleotide ribosomal RNA is filed under the name marine sediment metagenome. RNAcentral's name for it is "SSU rRNA". It matches the Rfam family "Archaeal small subunit ribosomal RNA", at positions 101 to 879 of the family's 1478-position model. The record is from RNAcentral.